Molecule: long non-coding RNA, 1153 nt
Organism: Ictalurus punctatus (channel catfish)
Lineage: Eukaryota; Metazoa; Chordata; Actinopteri; Siluriformes; Ictaluridae
Source: Ensembl
CUAGAAUAUUCCAGGAAUGUCUUCUUGGCGUUUUCUCGCCCGAUUUCUUGAGGAAUUUCCCGCGAGAUGCUUUUUAAACGGUAUUAGAGGAGUUCACACCGACGCCGCGCUCUUACCCGCUGCUCUUGGGGAUCUGUCGCGCCGAGUCGUCCGUUUUUAAAUAAAGAUUCAUUUAGUAAAUAAAAUGUUCGUUUUAGUCUAACGAAAGAAACGGAUAUGCCGGGACGGUUAUAUUUUUUGUCCGCGCCGCCGAUUUCACACGUUUACUCGCGCACACACAGCUUCAGAUCAAAAGCUUUUUAAACAUCGCGAGAGACGUUUCCGUCGGGCGUCCACAAACUUUUGACCCGCAGUGCGCGGACGGUCCCGCCGUCUUGUUUUUCAAAUCCAGUUCAGCUGUAUGAAGUGUCCGGAAGUGACCGUGUCGAAAAGCCUCUCGAACCUGACGGGUGAAAUCCGCGGGCGUUUUUUUUCGUCUCUUCUUAGUGGCGUCGUAAACCGGGAGGCGUAAAGACCGCGACCAUGGCGCCGAUACCGUGCGAGGUAGAAAUGCUCGACAGAACUCUCGUAAAACGCGCACGGACAUUUGGUGAAAAUGUGUCCGUACUGCGUCGGGCUCUCGGGCAGUCGCAGCUGUGAAAGUCAGAAGACCCGGACGCUCUAUAUAAAGCGAGUUGCGGCACGCGGAGGGAAGUGGAGACGUAGACGCACGCGUAGAGGCGCUGUAUUUUCUGUAGUUCGUUAAGAGAAGGUACACUGAACUUCCCAGGAGGACGUGACUGCACAGUAAGUUCUUUCACAGACGUUCCUCAGCGGUAAUGUAAAUAUCAACAGGUUAAAAGAAUACGUCACUGGUUAAUAAGGAUAAAAUGUAAAGGUUGGGAAAUCGCUGUGGAAUAAAACUCUCGAUGUUAUUGGAUCAUGUUUAAACCCCACGGAGGGAAGAGUUGAGUCGGGCUUUAUUCCUACACUUUAUAUCCUGCUACGCGCAGAGUCACUGAAUCCUUCCCCUCUUAUAUUUCUAUUAGUUUCUGUAUCGGUGUUGUAGAGGAGCGCUGAGUCCUGUAGAGGAGUCUUGGAGAGGAGUCCUGAGUCCUGUAGAGGAGCCCUGUAGAGGAGUGCUGAGCCCUGUAGAGGAGUGCUGAGUCCUGUA